Molecule: long non-coding RNA, 536 nt
Filed under: Monodelphis domestica (gray short-tailed opossum)
Lineage: Eukaryota; Metazoa; Chordata; Mammalia; Didelphimorphia; Didelphidae
Description: lncRNA (ENSMODG00000047662.1)
Source: RNAcentral
GUUUCUUCUGGGGGACAAUGCCCAAGCCUGUUCGGAGUCCUGCAAAGAUGCAGAAACCUUGGCAUUUUACAGACCGAAAUGCAUAUUCUACUUCUGGGGAAGAUUGUAUCUGCAAAGUUGGAAAAGGAAAACAAACUCUUCAAUUCCUCCGUUGUAUAAACAAGUUGAUCACAUUUUAAUUGGAAGCCUGGAAUGUAUGGAGUGCAAAGGAAGUGAAUUGCACCAAGUCCUUGCGCUCCAGAAUCUCCCAGGGAAGGAGGCGAGGCAGAUUUUGUUUUGUUUCGGGUGUUUUUAUUCAACCACCUCCAAGGAUUCAUGCUUCUUCGUUGAGCUCCCCAGGAAGGGAAUUCUCUUUACCAAUGCAGGCUUAAGGCAAGCAGAAGACCAGAGCCUCAGAAGAUAGAGGACAAACCAAGUUUGAGAAUCCAAGUAAACAGUCCAAAAGGAUAUCUUUUUAGGGCCUCGGAAGCCCUGGGAUCAAUGGAAAGCAUUGCCUUAGGCAACACCUUAAUAAAGGAAGAAGUUGUAAAUACCCA